AAUGAACGUUGGCGGCAUGGAUUAGGCAUGCAAGUCGGGGGAAUCCCAGCAAUGGGGGAACCGGCGUAAGGGGCAGUAAGGCAUGGGUACCUACCUUGGGGUUCGGGAUAGCCAUCAGAGAUGGUGGGUAAUACCGGAUGACGUCGUGAGACCAAAGAUUUAUCGCCCUUAGAGGGGCCCAUGUGAUAUUAGCUAGUUGGUGGGGUAACGGCCCAUCAAGGCGAAGAUGUCUAGCGGGUGUGAGAGCACGACCCGCGCCACUCGCACUGAGACACUGGCGAGACACCUACGGGUGGCUGCAGUCGAGGAUCUUCGGCAGUGAGCGCAAGCUUGACCGAGCGAUGCCGCGUGAGCGAUGAAGGCCUUCGGGUUGUAAAGCUCUUUAGUGGGGGAGAAAAGCCGCAAGGUGUGAUCUAUCCCAAAAAUAAGCACGGGCUAAGUUCGUGCCAGCAGCCGCAGUAA
Molecule: ribosomal RNA, 462 nt
Filed under: uncultured bacterium
Lineage: Bacteria
Description: partial 16S ribosomal RNA
Rfam family: Bacterial small subunit ribosomal RNA
Source: RNAcentral